This 1131-nucleotide long non-coding RNA is filed under the name Bos grunniens (domestic yak). Its description in RNAcentral is "lncRNA (ENSBGRG00000020104.1)". Lineage: Eukaryota; Metazoa; Chordata; Mammalia; Artiodactyla; Bovidae. The record is from RNAcentral.
AAUUCGAGGUUCUCAGUCGCCAGCUCCUGCGGUGGAGCGCGCGGACGGGCGCGCCGCCUGGAGCGUUCCAUCCCGCCCCCUCCUCCACCUUCUCCCGUCCUGUCCCGGGCGACUACUCGCCCGCCCCCUGGCUUGCAUCCUUACCCCCCACGCACCCCUACCCUGCAAGCCGAGGCUGGGUGCAGGCAGUAUGAUGUCGCUGCAGCCUCCUCGCCAUCCCAUGCCGAGGGGGAGCAAGCCCUUACCCGCCGGGCGUGCAGCCCCCGGCUCCACACUCGCCCGUGUCUGCAAGCACGUGCACCGUUCGCCGCUGCCUCCAGCCACCCCGGUCCCGGGCUAACCUCGCCUGCAGCCCGGCCAAUCGUUUGCUGCCCUUUGUUGCUGCAGCCCGGGUCUCCCCGCUGUCUUCCUCAGCCUCCGCCUCGUCCUUUGCCAGCCGCCCGGGUCCGCAGCGCCGCGCUCCCCCCGCCCGGGACCCACCGCCGCCGCCUCCUUCUCCUCCUCCGCCUCCUCCUCCUCCUCGGCUCCGGGCUGCAGCGCACAGAGCCCGAGGCAGCGCCGCCCAGCCCCGCUCCCCCCGCGCCGCCAGCUAGCCCGCCCGGCCCGGCCGGGGGCGCAGCCUGGACCCCGCCCGCCCCAGUCCCCGCCCCGGGGGUACCUGCCUCCGCCCUGGGGGGCUCCGCUUGCCGCCCUCGGGGGAGGGCGGGGAUGCCGGUGUCCGCGGGAGGAUGGGGACGCCUGGGCCGUUUGGGGCGGGGAGUGUGCCCGCCUGGGCUGGGACUGAGAGGUGCGGUCCUCGCCAAAGCGCCCCCCCUCCCCGCCCCGCCGCCGUGGGCCCCAAACUUCGUCCUCUGCUGGGUCUUGUACCCUGGGCGGUCGCGGCAGUUUUGGGGUGGGGGAUGCUUCGGGAGCUGUGUCUACCCUGAUCAGGAGGAAGAGGGAGCAGUGACAUUCAGCGACUGCGGACAGGGCACGGCGGCGGCAUCCUUGGGUGGGAGUGGGGAUGUCAGACGCCGCUGGAGGGGGAAGCUGCCCCUCGAUGCCCUCUCCCGGUCUGCGAGGAGCUGGAGAGCUCUGAGCUGCGUUCCCAGUGCUUUCUUGGGCGAUGCAGCCGGGUGGCAGAGGGGCUAG